RNAcentral lists this ribosomal RNA (465 nucleotides) under Vreelandella stevensii. RNAcentral's name for it is "partial 16S ribosomal RNA". It matches the Rfam family "Bacterial small subunit ribosomal RNA", at positions 338 to 795 of the family's 1533-position model. The record is from RNAcentral. Lineage: Bacteria; Pseudomonadati; Pseudomonadota; Gammaproteobacteria; Oceanospirillales; Halomonadaceae.
CCUACGGGGGGCUGCAGUGGGGAAUAUUGGACAAUGGGGGCAACCCUGAUCCAGCCAUGCCGCGUGUGUGAAGAAGGCCCUCGGGUUGUAAAGCACUUUCAGUGAGGAAGAACGCCUGGUGGUUAAUACCCAUCAGGAAAGACAUCACUCACAGAAGAAGCACCGGCUAACUCCGUGCCAGCAGCCGCGGUAAUACGGAGGGUGCGAGCGUUAAUCGGAAUUACUGGGCGUAAAGCGCGCGUAGGUGGCUUGAUAAGCCGGGUGUGAAAGCCCCGGGCUCAACCUGGGAACGGCAUCCGGAACUGUCAAGCUAGAGUGCAGGAGAGGAAGGUAGAAUUCCCGGUGUAGCGGUGAAAUGCGUAGAGAUCGGGAGGAAUACCAGUGGCGAAGGCGGCCUUCUGGACUGACACUGACACUGAGGUGCGAAAGCGUGGGUAGCAAACAGGAUUAGAUACCCGGGUAGUC